AUACACUCCUAUUGCUAUGUUCCUUUAAAAACUGUAACAUCAUCUUUGUAGAGAGCAUUUCCAAUUUCUAGGUUUUCCAAAAAUUUAGAUAUAAUUUUCACAUCCUCUUCCUUUUUAAUAUUGACUGUUCUCAAUGUUCUUCUGUGAACUGGGUUUUCCUACAUAAUAUUAUUCUCUUGUGUUGUGUUUUAUUUUCAUUUCUCUCUGAAUAUUUUCUAUUUUUCCUAGUGAUUUCUUUUUUUAACCUAUUGGUUGUCCAGGAGUAUGUCCUUUAACAUCCAUAUUUCCUUCUGUUGUUGAUUUUUAUUUUCAUUCCAUUGUGAUCAGAGAAGAUACUUGGUAUGACUUUAAUAUUUUAAAAUCAAUUGAGAAUUAUGCAUGAUCUACACAUGGUUUAUCCUGGAGAACAUUCUUUGUGUAUCUGAGAAGAAUGUGGAUUCUAUAAUCAUUAAGAAAAGUGUCCUGUUAUGGGUUUGUUAGCUAUAGUUGAUAUCUGAUGCUGCUUAAAUCUUCCAUUUUCUUUUUGGUGUUUGUCCAGAUGCUCAAUUUCUUAUUGAAAGUUGAGUGUUGGAAUGCCCCACUUGUAUUUUAAAACUAUUUGUCUCUUCAAUUAUCAAUGCUUGCUUUUUACAAUUUCAGGAUCUCUUGAUUGUUACAGAUACACUUAUAAUGUAUGUUGUACAUAAAUUCACCUCUUUUCUAAUAUAGAAUAUUCUCAUUUCUAAUAUAAAAUGUCUAAUUUCAUUUCAAACUUUGUUCUUUUUAGAUAUAAAUGACAGUAGAGUGCAUUUUGACAUUAUAUAUUCAUGGAGUAAAACUUAUUCUAAUUAGGAUCCCAUGCUUGUGGUUGUAUAUGAUGUGGAGUUACACUGGUCAUGUAUACAUAUAUAAACACAGGAAAGUUAUGUCUGAUUCAUUGUACUGUUUUUCCUAUUCCCAUUGCACCUCUCUUCCUUUUAUUCCCCUUUUCCUAAUCCUAUGAACUUCUAUUCCCUGCCCCUCCCAUCUUAUGUAUGUUAACACCUGCAUAUCAGAAAGAACAUUCAGCCUUUCAGCAAAAUUUUUUAUAUUUAUAUUUUGGUUGUAGUUGGACACAAUACCUUUAUUUUAUUUAUUUAUCUUUAUGUGGUGCAGAGAAUCGAACCCAGGGCCUUGCAUGUGCUAGGUGAACACUCUACUGCUGAGCCACAACCCCAUCCCCUAAGCAAAUUUUUAUUGAUAUCUAUUGUGUGAUAUCAGUAUACCAUCUCCAUAUUUGGUUACUAAUUGCUUGGGAAAUUAUCCAUUUUUUGAGGAGAGAGAGAGAGAGAGAGAGAGAGAGAGAGAGAGAGAGAGAGAGAGAUCUGUAUUUUUAAUGGUUAUUUUUUAGUUUUCGGUGGACACAACAUCUUUAUUUUAUUUUUAUGUGAUGUUGAGGAUUGAACCCAGUGCCCCACGAAUGCCAGGUGAGUGUGCUACCACUUGAGCCACAUCCCCAGCCCAAAUUAUCCAUUUUUUUAACUUUCAAUGUAACUGUGUUUGAUAUAAAUCUGUCUCUUAUAGAUUGUACAUUCCUUAUAUAUCUGUAUUUUUAAUGGUGUUCUUAAUAAUUUUACAGUUCAAGAGCUGAAUCAUAUUGACAAUCCUUGUUCUACUAUAAUGCUAUGUACCCUAUAUACUUUUGGUUUCUCAUUUCUUCUAUUAUUGACUUAAGUUUUAUUUGAUCAUCAUUGUUUAUAUUGAGCUUUUUUAUUCCCUUUUGAUUUUUAAGUUAUAAUUUUAGUAGUUACCAUGGGGAUUGCUGUUAGCAUUCUAAAUUUACAAAUAUCUAACUUGAAAUGAUUCUCGGUUAGCUUUCAAUUGCAUACAACUAAUUCUGCUCUGAUCCCAAAACAUUCACCUUUGUCUUCUUUUGGUCACAAAUUAUAUCUUCCUAUGUUGUGUGUCUAUAGC
Molecule: long non-coding RNA, 1932 nt
Filed under: Marmota monax (woodchuck)
Lineage: Eukaryota; Metazoa; Chordata; Mammalia; Rodentia; Sciuridae
Source: RNAcentral